GAGCUCUCUUCUGCGCUCUGGUGUUGGGGAUCGUCCGCCCCCCGCGGCGGCCGGCCCCGAAAUGGAAUGGCGGUCUCGCUGUGACCUCCUCCGUGUAGUAGUGAUACCUCGCGGCUGGAUAGCGACGGGACCACGCCGUAAAACAACCCACUGCUUUUAUGGUUGACCUCGAAUCAGGUAGGGAUACCCGCUGAACUUAA
This 200-nucleotide unclassified non-coding RNA is filed under the name soil metagenome. RNAcentral's name for it is "partial contains internal transcribed spacer 2 and large subunit ribosomal RNA". The record is from RNAcentral.